AUACGGAGGAUCCGAGCGUUAUCCGGAUUUAUUGGGCCUAAAGCGUCCGUAGCCGGUCUGAUAAGUCUCUGGUGAAAUCCCGCAGCUUAACUGUGGGAAUUGCUGGAGAUACUAUCAUGACUCGAGGUCGGGAGAGGCUGGAGGUACUCCCAGGGUAGGGGUGAAAUCCUGUAAUCCUGGGAGGACCACCUGUGGCGAAGGCGUCCAGCUGGAACGAACCUGACGGUGAGGGACGAAAGCCAGGGACGCGAACCGGAUUAGAUACCCGGGUAGUCCUGGCCGUAAACGAUGUGGACUUGGUGUUGGGAUGGCUUCGAGCUGCCCCAGUGCCGAAGGGAAGCUGUUAAGUCCACCGCCUGGGAAGUACGGCCGCAAGGCUGAAACUUAAAGGAAUUGGCGGGG
This 402-nucleotide ribosomal RNA is filed under the name uncultured bacterium. RNAcentral's name for it is "partial 16S ribosomal RNA". It matches the Rfam family "Archaeal small subunit ribosomal RNA", at positions 473 to 873 of the family's 1478-position model. The record is from RNAcentral.